Molecule: ribosomal RNA, 216 nt
Filed under: Glomeromycotina sp.
Lineage: Eukaryota; Fungi; Glomeromycota
Description: partial small subunit ribosomal RNA
Rfam family: Eukaryotic small subunit ribosomal RNA (bases 87-216)
Source: RNAcentral
GGGUCAGUAGGUUGGUCGUGCCACCGGUACGUACUGGUCUCACUGAUUCCUCCUUCCUGAAGAACCGUAAUGCCACUAAUUUGGUGUUGCGGGGAAACAGGACUGUUACUUUGAAAAAAUUAGAGUGUUUAAAGCAAGCUAACGCUUGAACACAUUAGCAUGGAAUAAUGAAAUAGGACGAUCGAUCCUAUUUUGUUGGUUUCUAGGAUUGACGUA